GAGCCCUAUCUAAUGGAAAAAUCAAAUUCAAUGAGGAUUUGGUUCAUCCGACACGUACACUUCAUGGGCAUCCCGCCUUUCUAUGUUCUAUAGACUUGUAUGUAACUAUUGAGAGUGAAUAUAUUCUACAUAAUAUGAAUAUUCCACCUAAAAGUUUGCUUGUAGUUCAAAACGAUCAAUAUGUAGAAUCAGAACAAGUAUUUGCUGAGAUUCGCGCAGGAAUAUCCACUUUGAAUUUAAAAGAGAAGGUUCGAAAACAUAUUUAUUCUGAUUCAGACGGAGAAAUGCACUGGAGUACCGAUGUCUAUCAUGCACCCGAAUUUACAUAUGGAAAUGUUCAUCUAUUACCAAAAACAAGUCAUUUAUGGAUAUUAUUAGGAGGGCCGUGCAGGUCCAGUCUAGUCUACCUUUCGAUCCACAAGGAUCAGGAUCAAAUGAAUGCGCAUUCUCUUUCUGGUUUAUGGAUAUUAUUAGGAGGGUCGUGCAGGUCCAGUCUAGUCUACCUUUCGAUCCACAAGGAUCAGGAUCAAAUGAAUGCGCAUUCUCU
RNAcentral lists this long non-coding RNA (547 nucleotides) under Nicotiana benthamiana. RNAcentral describes it as "long non-coding RNA (NBEN_LNC011212)". The record is from RNAcentral. Lineage: Eukaryota; Viridiplantae; Streptophyta; Magnoliopsida; Solanales; Solanaceae.